This 694-nucleotide long non-coding RNA is filed under the name Rattus norvegicus (Norway rat). Its description in RNAcentral is "long non-coding RNA NONRATT009553". Lineage: Eukaryota; Metazoa; Chordata; Mammalia; Rodentia; Muridae. The record is from RNAcentral.
GCAGGUGUGGUCAUUGCUGACAGCGAAUACCCUUCCAGAGUGGCCUUUACCUUGCUGGAGAAGGUGAGUGUUGUUGGACUAGACUAGGAGGUCAAGUGAGACGUGCUGAACCUGAAGCACGAGGGGUGAAUGCUCCAGAGACAUUUUCACCAUCCCUCUACCCAAGCCAGAAGACAUUUGAAAUCACUGCCUAUAUAUAUUUCUUCCUUGGUGUUGACGCUGGCCUUCAACUAACCUGUGCUCCUGCCAUGAUUACAUUAGCUCUCCUCUGAAAUUAGGCCACUGCUGCCGGCUCUCCCUGUGCUUCUGCUGAAGGUUCCUCAUUCUCUUCCUGUUGUUACUGCAGGCAGUCAUUACAGCUUUCUCCCCUGGUGGAGGUCAAUGGCUUCCUGGAGUUUGUUUGUUUGUUUGUUUGUUUGUUUUUGAGACAGGGUCUUACUGUGUAUCUUUGUCUUGCCUGGAACUCGUAAUGUAGACCAGGUUGGCCUCAAACUCAGAAUUUCACCUGACUUUGUCUCCUGAGUACUGAGAUUAAAGGCAUGUUGCAGCACGCCGAUUCCUACCCAUUCCAUCGAGUUUAGUACCCAGUGACUUCUCAUUGUAAACCAGAGACAGAAGUAUUUCCUUGUCCUGUUCCUCGUAACAUUGAAACACGUCCAAAGACCCCCCCCCCACCCCCUUUUUUUUUAUGGUU